RNAcentral lists this transfer RNA (77 nucleotides) under Acidobacteriota bacterium. RNAcentral's name for it is "Acidobacteria bacterium tRNA-Pro". It matches the Rfam family "tRNA". From Rfam's summary of the family: Transfer RNA (tRNA) molecules are approximately 80 nucleotides in length. Their secondary structure includes four short double-helical elements and three loops (D, anti-codon, and T loops). The record is from RNAcentral. Lineage: Bacteria; Pseudomonadati; Acidobacteriota.
CGGGAUGUAGCGCAGCCUGGUAGCGCACUUGUCUGGGGGACAAGGGGUCCCGAGUUCGAAUCUCGGCAUCCCGACCA